AGCGAACGCUGGCGGCAGGCCUAAAACAUGCAAGUCGAACGGAUCCUUCGGGAUUAGUGGCGGACGGGUGAGUAACACGUGGGAACGUGCCUUUUGGUUCGGAACAACUCAGGGAAACUUGAGCUAAUACCGAAUGUGCCCUUCGGGGGAAAGAUUUAUCGCCAUUAGAGCGGCCCGCGUCUGAUUAGCUUGUUGGUGAGGUAAAGGCUCACCAAGGCGACGAUCAGUAGCUGGUCUGAGAGGAUGAUCAGCCACACUGGGACUGAGACACGGCCCAGACUCCUACGGGAGGCAGCAGUUAGGAAUCUUGCGCAAUGGGGGAAACCCUGACGCAGCCAUGCCGCGUGAAUGAUGAAGGUCUUAGGAUUGUAAAAUUCUUUCAGCGGGGACGAUAAUGACGGUACCCGCAGAAGAAGCCCCGGCUAACUUCGUGCCAGCAGCCGCGGUAAU
RNAcentral lists this ribosomal RNA (450 nucleotides) under uncultured bacterium. RNAcentral's name for it is "bacterial SSU rRNA". It matches the Rfam family "Bacterial small subunit ribosomal RNA", at positions 29 to 524 of the family's 1533-position model. The record is from RNAcentral.